GGGGUUCCACGGGGGUCCCUGGGGGUCCCAAAGGGGGGACGCGGCCCCCCCGCGAUCCUCCAGGGGGCGCAGCGGGACCCCAACACUGCCACUGCCACCCGCUCCGCCCCCAAGCUGCCUCAGUUUCCCCUCAGGAUGGGCCGGCACUGGGAUGGGCUGGGAAUGGGAUAAACUGGGACUGGGAUUGGGCUGAUACUGGGAUAGACUGGGACCGGGAUGGGGCAGGACUGGGAUCGACUGGCACUGGGAUAAACUGGCACUGGGAUAAACUGGCACUGGGAUGUUCCAUCACUGUCACCAACUCUGGGAUGCUGCGGCACUGGGAUGAUCCAACCCUGAUCCAGCACUGGGAUGAUCCAGAACUGGGAUGAUCCAGGACUGGGAUGAUCCAACACUGAUCCAGGACUGGGUCGCUCUGGGACCAGGAGGCUCCGGCACCAGGAAGCUCCGAUACCAGAAUGUUCCGGAAUGUUCCGCCGUGGGGACGCUCUGAUCCUGGGAUGAUCCCACAGCAGGAGGCUCCAACACCAGGAAAAUCCCAGGCGGGGCUGCUCGGAUACGGGAACGCUCCAGCACCGGGAGCAGCAGGAUGUUCCCAUUCCGGAAUGUUCCACCCUGGGGAUGCUCCGAGGUCAGAGGGAUCCAGCACCGGAACGUUCCGACACCAGAACAUUCCAUCAGAUGCUCCGACAUUGGAAUGAUCCAAUCCUGGAAUGCCCCGACCAUGGGAUGCUUCAGCACCGGAAUGCCCUGACCCAGGAGGUCCCAAAUCUGGGAUGUCCCCAAUCUGGGAUGUCCCCAAAUCCAGAAUGUCCCAAAUCCGGGAUGUCCCCAAAUCUGGGAUGUCCUCAAAUCUGGGAUUCCCAAAUCCAGGAUGUCCCAAAUCCAAGAUGUCCCCAAAUCUGGGAUGUCCCAAAUCCAGGAUGUCACAAAUCCAAGAUGUCCCAAUUCCAGGAUGUCCCAAAUCCGGGAUGUCCCCAAAUCCAGGAUGUCCCCAUUCCCAGAUGUCCCCACACCGGGAUGUCCCCAUCAGGAGCCGGAUGGACACGGAGCGGCCGAUCCCAGGAAUUCCUGGGAAUUCCAAACCAGCCAAAUCCAGAGGACACCCGGAGCAGGGACAGGGACAGGGACAGGGACAGGGACACGGACACGGACAGGGACAGGGACACGCAGCUCUGGCUCUGCCUGGCCCCGAAUCCCAAAUUAUCCCAAAUUAUCCCAAAUAAUCCCAAAUUAUCCCAAAUAAUUCCAA
RNAcentral lists this long non-coding RNA (1252 nucleotides) under Cyanistes caeruleus (blue tit). Its description in RNAcentral is "lncRNA (ENSCCEG00000005316.1)". The record is from RNAcentral. Lineage: Eukaryota; Metazoa; Chordata; Aves; Passeriformes; Paridae.